Molecule: long non-coding RNA, 289 nt
Organism: Etheostoma spectabile (orangethroat darter)
Lineage: Eukaryota; Metazoa; Chordata; Actinopteri; Perciformes; Percidae
Exons: 2
Source: RefSeq, a predicted model, not a curated record
AAAUAUUAAUCCUUUAAAAAAAUGAAUGCAUGUGUAUGAAUGAACAUAUUUUUUAUAUAUUGUUAUAAGAAAGUCUGUUUCACUAUAUAAGACUGAGAUAAGCAGGUGAAGAAAAAGAUUGUGUCUUUACUUACUAACACCAGUUUUUGUAUUUUGCCAAAAAUAUAAAUGACUGAACAUACUGUUUCUGUUGUAGCACCAUUAACUAAACUGAAGAGCUCACAAGAAGGCGUCCUGCCAACUGUAAAGAGACCUGUGCCCCUUCCUCAGGAGCUGAGGUUUCUGAUGC